GAUGAACGCUGGCGGCGUGCCUAAUACAUGCAAGUCGAGCGAACGGACGAGAAGCUUGCUUCUCUGAUGUUAGCGGCGAACGGGUGAGUAACACGUGGAUAACCUACCUAUAAGACUGGGAUAACUUCGGGAAACCGGAGCUAAUACCGGAUAAUAUUUUGAACCGCAUGGUUCAAAAGUGAAAGACGGUCUUGCUGUCACUUAUAGAUGGAUCCGCGCUGCAUUAGCUAGUUGGUAAGGUAACGGCUUACCAAGGCAACGAUGCAUAGCCGACCUGAGAGGGUGAUCGGCCACACUGGAACUGAGACACGGUCCAGACUCCUACGGGAGGCAGCAGUAGGGAAUCUUCCGCAAUGGGCGAAAGCCUGACGGAGCAACGCCGCGUGAGUGAUGAAGGUCUUCGGAUCGUAAAACUCUGUUAUUAGGGUAGAACAUAUGUGUAAGUAACUGUGCACAUCUUGACGGUACCUAAUCAGAAAGCCACGGCUAACUACGUG
RNAcentral lists this ribosomal RNA (497 nucleotides) under uncultured bacterium. RNAcentral's name for it is "partial 16S ribosomal RNA". It matches the Rfam family "Bacterial small subunit ribosomal RNA", at positions 28 to 507 of the family's 1533-position model. The record is from RNAcentral.